UUUCCCAAUAGGCUGUCUUGUGACCCAGUAGCACAUAACACACUGAAAAUGCCUGUUAAAUGAUGACUAAUGAUUGCUUUGAUCUUUUUUUGGUGGUGGGUAGUUUUGGUUUUUUUGGGGGGAGGGGGUUGGGGGUUGGUUGUGGUGGUGCAGCUUGUUUUG
Molecule: long non-coding RNA, 162 nt
Organism: Oxyura jamaicensis (ruddy duck)
Lineage: Eukaryota; Metazoa; Chordata; Aves; Anseriformes; Anatidae
Exons: 3
Source: RefSeq, a predicted model, not a curated record